AGCAGCCGCGGUAAUUCCAGCUCCAAUAGCGUAUAUUAAAGUUGUUGCAGUUAAAAAGCUCGUAGUUGAAUUUCGGGGUUAGUAGGUUGGUCAUGCCUCUGGUAUGUACUGGUCUCACUGAUUCCUCCUUCCUUAUGAACCGUAAUGCCAUUAAUUUGGUGUUGCGAGGAAUUUGGACUGUUACUUUGAAAAAAUUAGAGUGUUUAAAGCAAGCUAACGCUUGAAUACAUUAGCAUGGAAUAAUGAAAUAGGACGUUCGAUCUUAUUUUGUUGGUUUCUAGGAUUGACGUAAUGAUUAAUAGGGAUAGUUGGGAGCAUUAGUAUUCAAUUGUCAGAGGUGAAAUUCUUGGAUUUAUUGAAGACUAACUACUGCGAAAGCAUUUGCCAAGGAUGUUUCAUUAAUCAAGAACGAAAGUUAGGGGAUCGAAGACGAUCAGAUACCGUCGUAGUCUUAACCAUAAACUAUGCCGACUAGGGAUCGGAUGAUGUUAAUUUUUAAUGACUCAUUCGGCGCCUUAAC
This 520-nucleotide ribosomal RNA is filed under the name uncultured Glomus. Its description in RNAcentral is "SSU rRNA". It matches the Rfam family "Eukaryotic small subunit ribosomal RNA", at positions 569 to 1092 of the family's 1831-position model. Lineage: Eukaryota; Fungi; Glomeromycota; Glomeromycetes; Glomerales; Glomeraceae. The record is from RNAcentral.